AACGAACGCUGGCGGCAGGCCUAACACAUGCAAGUCGAGCGGACCCUUCGGGGUUAGCGGCGGACGGGUGAGUAACGCGUGGGAAUAUGCCCUUCUCUACGGAAUAGUCCUGGGAAACUGGGGGUAAUACCGUAUACGCCCUUUGGGGGUAAGAUUUAUCGGGGAAGGAUUAGCCCGCGUUGGAUUAGGUAGUUGGUGGGGUAAUGGCCUACCAAGCCGACGAUCCAUAGCUGGUUUGAGAGGAUGAUCAGCCACACUGGGACUGAGACACGGCCCAGACUCCUACGGGAGGCAGCAGUGGGGAAUCUUAGACAAUGGGGGCAACCCUGAUCGAGCCAUGCCGCGUGAGUGAUGAAGGCCUUAGGGUUGUAAAGCUCUUUCAGCUGGGAAGAUAAUGACGGUACCAGCAGAAGAAGCCCCGGCUAACUCCGUG
This 433-nucleotide ribosomal RNA is filed under the name uncultured bacterium. Its description in RNAcentral is "partial 16S ribosomal RNA". It matches the Rfam family "Bacterial small subunit ribosomal RNA", at positions 29 to 507 of the family's 1533-position model. The record is from RNAcentral.